This 89-nucleotide transfer RNA is filed under the name Lasiosphaeris hirsuta. It matches the Rfam family "tRNA". From Rfam's summary of the family: Transfer RNA (tRNA) molecules are approximately 80 nucleotides in length. Their secondary structure includes four short double-helical elements and three loops (D, anti-codon, and T loops). Further hydrogen bonds mediate the characteristic L-shaped molecular structure. tRNAs have two regions of fundamental functional importance: the anti-codon, which is responsible for specific mRNA codon recognition, and the 3' end, to which the tRNAs corresponding amino acid is attached (by aminoacyl-tRNA synthetases). tRNAs cope with the degeneracy of the genetic code in two manners: having more than one tRNA (with a specific anti-codon) for a particular amino acid; and 'wobble' base-pairing, i.e. permitting non-standard base-pairing at the 3rd anti-codon position. The record is from Rfam by way of RNAcentral. Lineage: Eukaryota; Fungi; Ascomycota; Sordariomycetes; Sordariales; Lasiosphaeriaceae.
GCCCGGCUGGCUCAAUCGGUAGAGCGUGAGACUCUUAAGGCUCAACAGCUAGGUAUCUCAAGGUUGGGGGUUCGACCCCCCGCCGGGCU